RNAcentral lists this ribosomal RNA (426 nucleotides) under Leptodactylus myersi group sp. ABGD cluster 47. Its description in RNAcentral is "partial large subunit ribosomal RNA". It matches the Rfam family "Bacterial large subunit ribosomal RNA", at positions 1834 to 2457 of the family's 2925-position model. The record is from RNAcentral. Lineage: Eukaryota; Metazoa; Chordata; Amphibia; Anura; Leptodactylidae.
CUUGUUUACCUAUAAGAGGUCCAGCCUGCCCAGUGACUCUGUUCAACGGCCGCGGUAUCCUAACCGUGCGAAGGUAGCGUAAUCACUUGUUCUUUAAAUGAGGACUAGUAUGAAUGGCACCACGAAGGUUAUACUGUCUCCUCUCUCUAAUCAGUGAAACUAAUCUCCCCGUGAAGAAGCGGGGAUAAUCUUAUAAGACGAGAAGACCCUAUGGAGCUUUAAACUAAGAAUCAACUGCCUUUACCAUAUUUAAAUUCCAGAAGACUAACUUUUACCAAGACAUUCUGAUUUCUAGUUUUAGGUUGGGGUGACCACGGAGUAAAAACUAACCUCCGCAAUGAACAGGGAUCUUCCCUUAACCAAGGACCACAACCCCAAGAAUCAAUACAUUGACAUCAAUUGACCCAUUAAACCUGAUCAAUGAAC